GGAGCCGCUGUUGGGAUACCACCCUUGCAGUAUUGGGUUUCUAACCAGCCGCCGUGACCCGGCGGUGGGACAAUGCCAGACGGGGAGUUUGACUGGGGCGGUCGCCUCCGAAAGGGUAUCGGAGGCGCCCAAAGGUUCCCUCAGAAUGGACGGAAACCAUUCGAAGAGUGCAAAGGCAGAAGGGAGCUUGACUGCGACACCGACGGGUGGAGCAGGUACGAAAGUAGGGCUUAGUGAUCCGGUGGUAUUAAGUGGGAAUGCCAUCGCUCAACGGAUAAAAGCUACCCUGGGGAUAACAGGCUUAUCACUCCCAAGAGUUCACAUCGACGGAGUGGUUUGGCACCUCGAUGUCGGCUCAUCGCAUCCUGGGGCUGUAGUAGGUCCCAAGGGUUGGGCUGUUCGCCCAUUAAAGCGGUACGCGAGCUGGGUUCAGAACGUCGUGAGACAGUUCGGUCCCUAUCCGGCGUGGGCGUAGGAUAUCUGAGAGGAGCUGUCCUUAGUACGAGAGGACCGGGAUGGACGGGCCGCUGGUGCAUCGGUUAGACUGCCAAGUCUACGGCCGAGUAGCCAAGCCCGGAAGGGAUAAACGCUGAAGGCAUCUAAGCGUGAAGCCCCCCUUAAGAUGAGAUAUCCCAUUCG
RNAcentral lists this ribosomal RNA (639 nucleotides) under Blautia wexlerae. RNAcentral's name for it is "partial 23S ribosomal RNA". It matches the Rfam family "Bacterial large subunit ribosomal RNA", at positions 2182 to 2820 of the family's 2925-position model. RNAcentral also lists the same sequence under 1 other name. The record is from RNAcentral. Lineage: Bacteria; Bacillati; Bacillota; Clostridia; Lachnospirales; Lachnospiraceae.